RNAcentral lists this ribosomal RNA (329 nucleotides) under uncultured eukaryote. RNAcentral's name for it is "partial 18S ribosomal RNA". It matches the Rfam family "Eukaryotic small subunit ribosomal RNA", at positions 1470 to 1796 of the family's 1831-position model. The record is from RNAcentral.
CCCUUAGAUGUCCUGGGCCGCACGCGCGCUACACUGAGUGUCUGAGAUACGAGUCUGCCUGGUCCGGCAAGGUCUAGGUAAUCGCUAAAAGACACAUCAUGCUUGGGAUAGAUUAUUGCAAAUGUUAAUCUUGAACGAGGAAUUCCUAGUAAGCGCAAGUCAACAGCUUGCGUUGAUUACGUCCCUGCCCUUUGUACACACCGCCCGUCGCUACUACUGAUUGGAUGUUUAAGCGAGGUUCUCGAACUGCUAGCGACUUAGCUUCGGUGAGGUCGCAGUGUGGGAAGUGAACCUAGCUUUGGUGUCUAGAGGAAGUAAAAGUCGUAACA